GGAAAUUUGAAGAACAAUGAUUUCCUUAGAGGAAAUUUGUUGUCUUGAAGGAAAUCUUUUUCCCUUGAAUAAACAAUUUCCCUUGAGGAAAAAACAAUUUCCCUUUGAGGAAAAAUCUUUUUCCUUUAGGGAAAUUUGAUUUCCCUUGAGGAAAACAACUAUUCCUCUAAGGAAAUUGUUGAAAAAAGGGGCAUAACUUUUUUAACAGUGGUGCUAGAGCCAAAAAAUUUUAGGACAAAUAUCAGGGAACCAAUACCAACCAAGUUAUCAACUUCAUUUUGACUUAACUCCAAAAAUUAAGGUGAACAACUUUUGCACUCAGCGGAAUUGCAAACUUGUCCCGGAGACAAAUCUGCUUUUCUGAGAUGUUUUACAAGGUUCCAAAAAUGUGUUAUGCCC
RNAcentral lists this long non-coding RNA (399 nucleotides) under Mytilus galloprovincialis (Mediterranean mussel). The record is from RNAcentral. Lineage: Eukaryota; Metazoa; Mollusca; Bivalvia; Mytilida; Mytilidae.